ACACGGGAAACCAAAAUGCAGAUAACUCAAUCUCUAGUUUAACCUGCGAUAGGGAGGAAGAAAGGAGCUUGAAGCUUUGGCAUUUCACCCAAUUGACUUCCAUACCCCUGACCUUUAUUCUCCAUUCACUCCAUGGAUCGGCAAAAUUGCAGCACAAUCAAGUAGCACUUGCUGUAUCGCGACGCGUUCAUCUACAAAAUUGGUUUGGGUCGAACAUCGUGGUUGCCGUUGGUGGUCGUCUGAAUUAUAAUUUCAUAAUGGGCUUAACCAAUUUCUAUGUAUAAAUGAUUUAGUCGCUACUCGGAGACUCCGCCGAAUCGAAUUUCGUGAUUCAUUCGUCAACGGGAUGGAGACUGUUGGAACUCAUGUUGCGAAUUCGGAAUUGAAGUCCAGUCAUCGUGAUCACGUUUCGCAUCUUUCUCUUGAUAUAGGAGGUUCUCUAAUAAAGAUGGUUUACUUCUCAAGUGGCAGUAGCUCCUCCUCCUCUGAUGAUGAUGAGAAACACAGCUAUUUAAAGGAGGGAAUCUCACUUUGAAUGAAAUGAACUCAGUAUAGCCAAACUUUUCUGGGAUUGUUGUGGUAGAUUGUUGAAGGUUUAGAUUAGAUGGCCCGGGAGAAAACUAGUGCAAAUCCAAGUGAAGAAAAGGCUAAUGAACAUCCUAAUUUUCUGGCUCAAGGAUUGCGUAAUUUCACCUCAUACUUCCCGAAGAAUGUUGGUUGGUCACUGCCCUCACUUUUACUUGAAGAAUGGAAGUUCAGUUCUUGGUUUGAGUUUAUGUGCCUGCCUUGUCUUUGAUGCAGCAGUUUAGUUUUGAAAAACAAUGAGGAUAAAAUCGGGAAUGCACACUUGUAUCUCUAGUUUCGUAAACGCAUACCAAACAGCGUGUUUAUGGAGGUGGGGAUAUGUGUCUGUGCAAACAAACAUAGGCCAGAGAUUGCUAACUCUAUCACUAAACCUGAUAUUGGAUAUUACAUCUUCUUAACCCAUGUUAGGCCAACAUGGGUAACAAACGAACCCUUAAUAUCGUUGAGAAUUGACUAUUUAUGUGCCGCGAUUAAAUGUAAAAACUGAUUAUUUAAUAUAUAGUCGAUAGUUUUGUUA
Salvia splendens (bonfire salvia) is the source of this 1102-nucleotide long non-coding RNA. RefSeq lists it as uncharacterized. The record is from RefSeq and is a predicted model, not a curated record. The transcript has 3 exons. NCBI's taxonomy places the organism in Eukaryota, Viridiplantae, Streptophyta, Magnoliopsida, Lamiales, Lamiaceae.